RNAcentral lists this long non-coding RNA (657 nucleotides) under Homo sapiens (human). RNAcentral's name for it is "HSALNT0299089". Lineage: Eukaryota; Metazoa; Chordata; Mammalia; Primates; Hominidae. The record is from RNAcentral.
ACCUCAUGAGGAAGUGGCUCCAAGCAUCUUUGAGGCUGCUGAGUGCCAAAAACCACCUUGAGUUUAAACUUUGGCGUUUCUCCAUGUCCACUGAUGCUGUGCCAUGCUGUGCUCCUACCUUCGAGGCAGGGGGAAAGAUCCUGUUUGUUUUUGUGUGGACUGUCAACCAGGAAUUGGAACCUAAGUACCCAACCAUACCUUUGUUUAAAUCGUCAACAUAGAACUGGGUCAAGAGAGCAAUUUCACCAUAACUGCUGGACCUACAGUGUGGAAGAGCUUAGGCAGUAACAAGCACAAUUUGGGAUGUCCCUUGGAGUCCACCUCAAAGUAGAAGGGAAAGCGAGGAAACUACUCUGAAUUCAGAAUGGCAUGUUUGGGAGAAUGCACGAACUUCAGGGAACAUAUUCAGUAAGAAACCCAGCACUGCUCAUGACUUGGGACAAUGGAUAUAUCCUUGUGCAGUCUGGCAUGAUUGUGGUGACAAGAAACACCUGGUGGCAGAUUGUCUUCAAGAGGAAAGAACUCUGUGAAAAUCCAUCUUUCUCCUCUAGCACAUGGCUUAGACUCUGGGACCAGGGGAAUUACCUGCACAGCAUGUCCUGGAACCUUCCACAGCGUGCCCUUCCCAGGACAGCCAUCCAAGGCUGAUGUGUUAAC